This 542-nucleotide ribosomal RNA is filed under the name uncultured archaeon. Its description in RNAcentral is "bacterial SSU rRNA". It matches the Rfam family "Archaeal small subunit ribosomal RNA", at positions 457 to 997 of the family's 1478-position model. The record is from RNAcentral.
GGCAGCAGCCGCGGUAACACCGGCGGCCCGAGUGGUGAUCGUGAUUAUUGGGUCUAAAGGGUCCGUAGCCGGUUUGGUCAGUCCUCCGGGAAAUCUGAUAGCUCAACUAUUAGGCUUUCGGGGGAUACUGCCAGACUUGGAACCGGGAGAGGUAAGAGGUACUACAGGGGUAGGAGUGAAAUCUUGUAAUCCCUGUGGGACCACCUGUGGCGAAGGCGUCUUACCAGAACGGGUUCGACGGUGAGGGACGAAAGCUGGGGGCACGAACCGGAUUAGAUACCCGGGUAGUCCCAGCCGUAAACGAUGCUCGCUAGGUGUCAGGCAUGGCGCGACCGUGUCUGGUGCCGCAGGGAAGCCGUGAAGCGAGCCACCUGGGAAGUACGGCCGCAAGGCUGAAACUUAAAGGAAUUGGCGGGGGAGCACAACAACGGGUGGAAGCCUGCGGUUUAAUUGGACUCAACGCCGGACAACUCACCGGGGGCGACAGCAAUAUGUAGGCCAAGCUGAAGACUUUGCCUGAAUCGCUGAGGGGAGGUGCAUGG